GGCCUGUAUGCUGAAAACUAAUAAGAUACCGAUGAAAGAAACUGAAGAAGACACAAAUAAAUUGGAAUAUAUUCUGUGCUCAUAAAAAUACAGUCUAGAUGUUUAAUACAUCCAUAUCAAAUCCCACUGGCAUUUUUCACGGAACCAGAACAAAUAAUCCUAAAAUUUGUGUGGAACCACAAAAGACCUCAAAUAACUAAAGCAAUCUUGAGAUAGAAGAACAAAGGUGGAGGUAUCAGAAUUCCAG
Long non-coding RNA from Mustela erminea (ermine), 247 nucleotides. RefSeq lists it as uncharacterized. The transcript has 3 exons. The record is from RefSeq and is a predicted model, not a curated record. Lineage: Eukaryota; Metazoa; Chordata; Mammalia; Carnivora; Mustelidae.